GACGAACGCUGGCGGCGUGCCUAAUACAUGCAAGUCGAGCGCAGGAAACUGACGGAACUCUUCGGAGGGAAGGCAGUGGAAUGAGCGGCGGACGGGUGAGUAACACGUAAGGAACCUGCCUCAAGGAUUGGGAUAACUCCGAGAAAUCGGAGCUAAUACCGGAUAGUUCAACGGACCGCAUGGUCCGCUGAUGAAAGGCGCUUCGGCGUCACCUUGAGAUGGCCUUGAGGUGAAUUAGCUAGUUGGGGGGGUAACGGCCCACCAAGGCGACGAUGCAUAGGCGACCUGAGAGGGUGAUCGGCCACACUGGGACUGAGACACGGCCCAGACUCCUACGGGAGGCAGCAGUAGGGAAUCUUCCACAAUGGACGAAAGUCUGAUGGAGCAACGCCGCGUGAGUGAUGAAGGUUUUCGGAUCGUAAAACUCUGUUGUAAGGGAAGAACACGUACGAGAGGAAAUGCUCGUACCUUGACGGUACCUUACGAGAAAGCCACGGCUAACUACGUGCCAGCAGCCGCAGUAA
This 524-nucleotide ribosomal RNA is filed under the name uncultured bacterium. RNAcentral describes it as "partial 16S ribosomal RNA". It matches the Rfam family "Bacterial small subunit ribosomal RNA", at positions 28 to 523 of the family's 1533-position model. The record is from RNAcentral.